UGAGUAAUACAUCGGAACGUAUCCAGUAGCGGGGGAUAACCUCUCGAAAGAGAGGCUAAUACCGCAUACGACCUACGGGUGAAAGAGGGGGAUCGCAAGACCUCUCACUAUUGGAGCGGCCGAUGUCGGAUUAGCUAGUUGGCGGGGUAAAAGCCCACCAAGGCUACGAUCCGUAGCUGGUCUGAGAGGACGACCAGCCACACUGGAACUGAGACACGGUCCAGACUCCUACGGGAGGCAGCAGUGGGGAAUUUUGGACAAUGGGCGCAAGCCUGAUCCAGCCAUGCCGCGUGAGUGAAGAAGGCCUUCGGGUUGUAAAGCUCUUUCGGCGGGGACGAAAAGGUCCGUGUUAACACCACGGAUCCAUGACGGUACCCGCAGAAGAAGCACCGGCUAACUACGUGCCAGCAGCCGCGGUAAUACGUAGGGUGCAGGCGUUAAUCGGAAUUACUGGGCGUAAAGCGUGCGCAGGCGGUUUGCUAAGACAGGUGUGAAAUCCCCGGGCUUAACCUGGGAACUGCGCUUGUAACUGGCAAGCUAGAGUGUGGCAGAGGGGGGUGGAAUUCCACGUGUAGCAGUGAAAUGCGUAGAGAUGUGGAGGAACACCGAUGGCGAAGGCAGCCCCCUGGGCUAACACUGACGCUCAUGCACGAAAGCGUGGGGAGCAAACAGGAUUAGAUACCCUGGUAGUCCACGCCCUAAACUAUGUCAACUGGUUGUCGGGGAAGCAAUUCCUUGGUAACGAAGCUAACGCGUGAAGUUGACCGCCUGGGGAGUACGGCCGCAAGGUUAAAACUCA
RNAcentral lists this ribosomal RNA (799 nucleotides) under uncultured bacterium. RNAcentral's name for it is "bacterial SSU rRNA". It matches the Rfam family "Bacterial small subunit ribosomal RNA", at positions 107 to 903 of the family's 1533-position model. The record is from RNAcentral.